CAAUAGAGCACACAUCUUCAGUUUACAUAUUUAAGAACAAACCUGUUGCCUUGUGGGUGAAUUCAGCUGAAUGUGACCCACUUUUGAAGCCCACGUGUCUAGUUUGUCUAAUUUUACAAGAAUAUCAGUUGUCUGGGAAAUACUGUAGCUGUAUUCAUAUAAAAACAGCAUUACUUAAUACUGUCACAGGUUCCUCUAUUUUCCACCUAGUCACCUGGGCUCAGUUCUUGGUGAAGCCAAAUUUAAUCAGUCCACAGCCAAAAAGAAUGCUUGCAAAAGCCCUUAUUUACAAGGCAUCAGGCAACAGAUAUUGCUUGUAGGAACACAACACAAUAUUUUUAAAAAUAAGAAAGAAAUCAGAACACCUUCCUCCUUAAAUUCUACAAGAGGAUCAAGACAGCAGAGAGGAGCCUCUGCCUUUUAUUGAGGAAGCUCCACCCUGUGACCUCCCACAACCACAUUAAAGGCACCUUGCUCUUCUACAGACAUUUUUGCACAAUGUCCCAUUACACAAAAACAGUAUACAAAAACAAACAUUUUCCCCACACACAAAAAAGUAUUUUUGUCUUGUAUAUUUUCUUUUAAACUAGUUUCAUACAAAUAUUGUAGGUUAUGGAUGCAUUAAACACUGGUGUUUCUAAAUGGAUGGGGAGACCAGCUCCUCUCCAGUCCACAAGAGGGCACUGUACAAAGAGGCCAGGGGGUGUCCAGUGACUUUAAAUUGUGCCCUGAUUCAAAAUGUGGUUUUGACUCUGAAACCAAGUGAGUGCAACUGUAAGACUAGCUGCAGUUAAAAACCAAACAUAUGCACACAAGUAUUUACAAAUCCUAUUUGUCUAUUUUUUUAUUUUUUUUUCUUUGGCCUGCUGCAUGAUGUAAACUAUGAACAUAAAAGGUGAAGCCACAGAAGAUCAGCUGAGGGCUGGGUUUGUAGAAACCUUGCGGGAAGCUUGCACAAAUCGCAAUGAUGUUUCAUACUGUGAAUUUGAAGAUUAUUACGAAGGACUAAGUAUUGGAAUAUCUGAAGAUGAAGAUUUUGCAAAUAUCUUAAAGAAUUCUUGGGGCAUUUAAAAAUACAGGACCCUCAGUAAGUGGUUAAUAUAAUUAACAUAUAUAUCUUAAAUUAUACAACAUUGUGUGUUUGUGGAAUGUGAAAAUGAAGGAAUUCACAAAGCGAUUUAUGCCCAGUGUCAUGUUCGUAAGAAUCACUUUUGAAUGGUAAAAAUGGAACUUUCACCAGUUAAAUAGUUUAACGUUCUUCAUCUUUCCUCCUCCCUCCAAAAAUUCGAAUUAAUUUCCACUCAAGUGCCCAACCACAACCCUUGUAUUUUUAUUUCCCAUGGCUUCUAAACAAGUAAAAAAACAACUUUUGUAUGUAUACCGACAUUAGACAUAAACCCAACCCAUGCACUUCUGUCAUUUAUAACCAUUGUUAAAACAUGUUAUAAAUUAAAUGUGAGUUACUUUCUGUAUACCCUUUAGAAAAAUGACUACAAUAAAUUAAAUUAUGAUCUGUUAAAAAAAUUGACAAAACAAUGUAUACUUUGUUAGUGCAGGUUCGAUCUAUUUUGCAUUUUUCAUAGAAUGAAAAUUUAAUGUUUUCCGAACAUGAAAGUACUGCAUCAUGUGAAAAAAAUGUAAUGGUAAGGCCUAUGGGUCUGACUGUCAGUGUGAAAGCAGUGGUUUUCAAAACAAAAUAAAAGUUUAUUUUCAGUGUUUAUUU
Lepisosteus oculatus (spotted gar) is the source of this 1723-nucleotide non-coding RNA. The record is from RefSeq and is a predicted model, not a curated record. NCBI's taxonomy places the organism in Eukaryota, Metazoa, Chordata, Actinopteri, Semionotiformes, Lepisosteidae.